Molecule: ribosomal RNA, 775 nt
Filed under: uncultured Neocallimastigales
Lineage: Eukaryota; Fungi; Neocallimastigomycota; Neocallimastigomycetes; Neocallimastigales
Description: partial large subunit ribosomal RNA
Rfam family: Eukaryotic large subunit ribosomal RNA
Source: RNAcentral
GAGACUCUGUGCGCGUGCAUAUCAAUAAGCGGAGGAAAAGAAACUAACAAGGAUUCCCCUAGUAACGGCGAGUGAAGCGGGAAGAGCUCAAAUUUGAAAUCUUAAAGGGUUUCCCUUUACGAAUUGUAGUUUAAAGAAGUGUUUUCUGUUGGAGUUUCGGUAAAAGUUCUUUGGAAUAGGACAUCAUAGAGGGUGAGAAUCCCGUAUUUGACCGUUACUUUCCAGCUGUGUGAUACACUUUCAAAGAGUCGGAUUGUUUGGGAAUGCAGUCCAAAAUGGGUGGUAAAUUUCAUCUAAAGCUAAAUAUUGGCGAGAGACCGAUAGCGAACAAGUACCGUGGGGGAAAGAUGAAAAGAACUUUGAAAAGAGAGUUAAACAGUACGUGAAAUUGUCAAAAGGGAAGCGUUUGACACCAGUGUUGUUUAGUUGAAAAUCAAUUCAAUAGUUUUUGAUUCUAAGUAGUAUUGACUUCAUCAGCUUGCUGCUUUCUUCUCAGAAAUUAUUGAAUGCACUUUUCAGUUAACAAGUCAACAUCAAUUUCUUUUGUUGUAAAAGGGUAAGAGGAAGGUGGCUUGCGCUUCGGCUCAAGUGUUUAUAGCCUUUUAUCUCUGCAAUCGGAGAGAUUGAGGUCUGCAGCGUAGAUCCUUCGGGGUUAGAUACAUUGGUGCUAAGCUAUAGCCUUGUAUAGACAACUUGUUGACUAUGCUCAGUCAUGUAGCUUACUCGCUGAUGCUAUUUUACCUACGCUUAGGAUGUUGAAGAUGUAGCACAUCAU